AAUGUUUUACUUUGCGACCAUUUCUUAAAUUUUUGGUUAGGUUUAAAAAAUGGGUGAUAUGAAAAAAUCACCAGGUCUUUUUCCUGAUGAAAGUAUGUGAUAUUUGGUGUUGUGCAAGGCAUAUGAUAGGGUACAAGCAUAGAACCAUGGUGACAUUUGAGUAUUAAAGGUUGAUAGCAAUACUUAAGUGUUGAUAGAAACAACUUAUAUGGAGUACGAGUUGAGAUAUUUGUCAAGGAAAAUGACUUUCACCCACAGGUGACGUAAAUCAUUUUCCCCCUUUAAGUGGUAAAUUUUCUCUUCCACUAGAGGAUAACCAAACACCGAAAAUGAUUUCAUCAAGUGGAAAGCAUUUUUUAUCAUACCAAAUACUCUCAUAUUUUCGGUUUGGGCCACCGGUUCUACUUGGAUGCACUACAGAUGCGAUUGCAGGAAUGUGUUUGGGAUAAUUAGUCUGUUGUACACUUGUUCUACAAGGUAGAAUUUCCUUUAUUUAUCAAAAUAUGCACGUUGUUAUUACUGAGACUUGGUAAUCACAUGUAGUAAUUGCACAAGAAACCUUACCAUUGCAUAUGAACUAUAACGGAUGUCUAAAAAGAGAUGAUAGGGAUCGGUUUACGUUGGUUAUAUUUACUAAGUUUGGAGGUGAUCUCAGACACUGAUCCAUUCAUUUUCUCAUAAUACCAUAAACCACAGAUUUCAUAGAUUAAGAAAAUGAUAAUGUUCAAGAAAGUUGUGGUCGCAUAAGUUGUUUGACUUUGAUAAUGAGAUUUUGUUACAGAAAUGAUAAAUGUGAUUGGAUGGAGUUGUUUCACUCUGUUUUCUCCAAUCUCUUUAUAAUGGCUGCUCUGGAACAUUGUUAAAUUCAUUUUGAGGCUUAUUUCAAAGGUAGAGAGCUUCUAAGAUAGCUAGAAGCAUAACAUUUGCUGUCCUUUGGUGUUAUAUCUCUUUGAUCGGAUAAAUCUUCUAGUUACCAUGCGUCUUUUCUAUAUAUUAAUUUGGACGUUUGCUAUCUGUGAAUUUUUUUUCAUUUCC
Molecule: long non-coding RNA, 1035 nt
Filed under: Nicotiana benthamiana
Lineage: Eukaryota; Viridiplantae; Streptophyta; Magnoliopsida; Solanales; Solanaceae
Description: long non-coding RNA (NBEN_LNC021406)
Source: RNAcentral